CGGUCGUCUGCUGGUGUCGUGAGAUGUUGGGAUAAGUCCCGUAGCGAGCGCAACCCUUGUCCUUUGUUACCAGCACGUUAUGGUGGGCACUCUAAGGAGACUGCCGGUGACAAACCGGAGGAAGGUGGGGAUGACGUCAAGUCAUCAUGGCCCUUACGGCCUGGGCUACACACGUGCUACAAUGGUCGGUACAGAGGGUUGCCAAGCCGCGAGGUGGAGCUAAUCUCACAAAACCGAUCGUAGUCCGGAUCGCAGUCUGCAACUCGACUGCGUGAAGUCGGAAUCGCUAGUAAUCGCGAAUCAGAAUGUCGCGGUGAAUACGUUCCCGGGCCUUGUACACACCGCCCGUCACACCAUGGGAGUGGGUUGCACCAGAAGUAGCUAGUCUAACCUUCGGGAGGACGGUUACCACGGUGUGAUUCAUGACUGGGGUGAAGUUCGUAACAAGAGCAGGCC
This 456-nucleotide ribosomal RNA is filed under the name Pseudomonas putida. RNAcentral's name for it is "bacterial SSU rRNA". It matches the Rfam family "Bacterial small subunit ribosomal RNA", at positions 1049 to 1502 of the family's 1533-position model. The record is from RNAcentral. Lineage: Bacteria; Pseudomonadati; Pseudomonadota; Gammaproteobacteria; Pseudomonadales; Pseudomonadaceae.